ACGCUCGACACCUACGUGAGGCAGCAGUGGGGAAUAUUGCACAAUGGGGGAAACCCUGAUGCAGCGACGCCGCGUGGAGGAAGAAGGUCUUCGGAUUGUAAACUCCUGUUGUUGGGGAAAAAGAGGAUGGUACCCAACAAGGAAGUGACGGCUAACUACGUGCCACAGCCGCGGUAAUCUGAGCGGGCUGGCAAGGC
RNAcentral lists this ribosomal RNA (197 nucleotides) under uncultured bacterium. RNAcentral's name for it is "partial 16S ribosomal RNA". It matches the Rfam family "Bacterial small subunit ribosomal RNA", at positions 328 to 539 of the family's 1533-position model. The record is from RNAcentral.